This 839-nucleotide non-coding RNA is filed under the name Aiolopus thalassinus tamulus. The record is from RNAcentral. Lineage: Eukaryota; Metazoa; Arthropoda; Insecta; Orthoptera; Acrididae.
UUAUUGUGUAUGUUUUUUUUUACUGUAUAUGUUUCAUUUAUUUUUUAAAGUUUUAUUCUUGCUUAAGGAUAGUUUUCACUUUUUCUUUGAGUUAUAUAUAAGUUUUGUUUUACUAAAUGUUCUUUUUGUAGUGAUUUAAUUUAAUUAUCAAGUUAUUUUGGAAUUAGUAAUUGAUCUAGUAUUGGCAUAAUUCGUGCCAGCAGCCGCGGUUAUACGAUUAAUGCAAGUGAAUGUUUUUGGUUAUUAUAGUUAUUAAUAUGUUUGGGUUAUAUUUUGAUUUUAUUAGGUGAAAUUUUAUUUUUAAAAUAAAUCCUUUUUAUGAGUCUAUGAAACUUGAUUAUUAAACUAGGAUUAGAUACCCUAUUAUUUCAAGUGUAAAUAUUUUUACCAGGGUAGUAUUAGUUAAGGUCUUUAAACCCAAAGAAUUUGGCGGUAUUUUAUUCCAUUCAGGGGAACCUGUCUCAUAAUUGAUAGUACACGAUUAACUUUACUUAAUUUAUUGGUUUGUAUAUCUCCGUUAUCAGAAAAUCUUUUUGGAGUAAUAAUUUUCUUGUUUUUUAUUAAAAUUUAUUUCAGGUCAAGGUGCAGCUUAUAAUUAAGUUGAUGAUGGGUUACAAUAAAUUUUUGUUUAUUAUGAAUUUAAUUUUGAAAUUUUUUAAUGAAGGUGGAUUUGAUAGUAAUUUAAUUUAUUUAUUUUAACUGAAAUUGGCUCUAGAAUGUGUACACAUCGCCCGUCGCUCUCAUUAUUAUUAAUUUAUUUAUUUUACUAUAAAUUAUGUUUAAUAUGAGAUAAGUCGUAACAUAGUAGGUGUACUGGAAAGUGUAUCUAGGAAGUUUAU